This is a long non-coding RNA of Daphnia magna, 2778 nucleotides long. RefSeq lists it as uncharacterized. The transcript is spliced from 6 exons. The record is from RefSeq and is a predicted model, not a curated record. Lineage: Eukaryota; Metazoa; Arthropoda; Branchiopoda; Diplostraca; Daphniidae.
UUUUUUUCUCUCUCAUCAUUCUUCCUAUUUUAAAGCAUCGUGGAAUGAAAUAUGCAAAUCCAAAUGGACCUCGCUGUUGCUCAGGUUCAAACUCUGUCACUCUAAAGGGAAGGCAGUUGAUCUAUGGCUGUUAAUUUUCAUAGAUACAGUCUGUAAUGGGGUUGUUGAUGAAUUUUGGAAUAUGAAUCUAUUUUCAUGAUUUCCCCCAGCAUUGUUACCAGGAGGACCAGGAGGACCUCUUGGACCUUCAGGGCCUGGAUCCCCAGUGGGUCCAGGUGCGCCUGUUGGGCCAGGGGGACCAGGUGGUCCUACAGCACCUGUGUCACCAGUUGGGCCAGGAGCGCCUGUUGGGCCUGGCGGGCCAUUGGGACCGACUGCCCCUGUGUCUCCCGUGGGUCCUGUAGGGCCAGUUGCACCAGUAGGGCCAAUUGCUCCAGUUGCACCAGUGGGACCAGUUGGUCCUGUAGCUCCAGUAGCACCAGUUUCUCCGGGAGGACCUAUUACAACGAAUCAUGAUCGCGUACUACGCCUCUAAUGAAGGGUGGCCGAUUGGCAUGAGCCUCACUUUUCUGAUAGGAGAUUUCGAACGAGAAUCACGUGCAGGGGAAAAGUCAUGCUGCUGUGACGCUAAAGGACCGCCUUUUCCCCGCACAGGUAUUCGAACUGUGUUCCGCUGACGGGUGACUUAUUGAUUAGUCUAGACUACUAGAUAUGUUUCACUGUAACAGAUAACAUAUAUAGCCCACCUGUUACAUUCACUGGUGGAUGACUCUGCAGUUCAGGAUCCGUCUCGAAUUUGAUGUUGUUUUAGUUUUAAGAACCAUUUUAAUGGCAAACUCUUUAAAUGGUUUUUUAAAGCCUAUGUAAAAACCCACCUAAUUAACAGCGACGAUGACAUUCAUCCCAAGUUUGUUGUACUGCAAUAUUCAUCGAAAUCGUUUUGAUUUAAUUUCUGGAAUUGAUUCAAUUGUAAACCUCUGAUUGACAAAACUAACGGGCCUAUGUUUUGAGAAAGAUUGUGUCCCCAUUUAUCACGAUUUUCUUUUUAACUUUAGCAUCGGUGUUAUGGGAAAUUCUCAUACCUUCAGUAAAACGGGAGUGUUUAAAACUAAUAAUAAUAGUAAUAAUAGCAGUGCAAUUGCUGAAAUAUGUUUUUGGACUUGGUCAACUCUGCGGCGACCGCAGUGGGUGUAUCUCCCACAGCGGGGUGAGAAAAUAUCAUCACGGGAUAAAGCACCACUACAAUCGCGAGCAAUUUGCUUGAAACGCAAGCGAAGCUAUCAUAAUUCACUCGACACUGGCCAUAUCGAAGUGGGUAGAUAGCGCGUCUAACGAGCUAGCGCAAGACCGUCGUCAUUUAAGCAGAGCAACGGCAGACAAAGCAAAUCAUCGUCCGUCCUCGAUGAACUUGUGCUAACCAACCAUCUGCUUCAAGCCAAACUGACAAUGUAACGCGCUACGGAGCAGCUCUAUAUGUUGAGCAGCGGCGGUUACACCGACAGCCGCGCCUUUUUUUUUGCCAAGCAUGUCGUCAUAUCUAUGCUGUGGUGAACGCACCAGUGGAAACGUUUCGGCUGGGAAAGUAUUAGCUCUAUAAAUGAUUACAUGUAAUCAAUGACAUCAUAUAGAGAUGUGCAGUUACACUUGUUUUCGCCUUACUUAACUUAAUACCGGCUUGUCUUGGUUAGCCGUCUUUCUGACGUGUCUCCGAGUUUGCUGGAAUGUUAACGUUCAUUUCCCAAUUUCAGUCAUUGACUAGGUUGCAGCCACCUGUUGUUGAAAACACAUCUAUACACUUCACAAGUUUUGCCCAGUUCUAGACCAGUUUUUGGUAACUAGUCUAUACAAAAUUCAAACAUAUAAUUUCAUUUUCUUGUAUUUAUAGUCCCAUAUCCUAUGAUUGGCAUGAAAACUACACCCAGUAUACACACCUUAACCGCUUUUACUUGUUGUGAAUUUUUAAAGAUACACUGAUAAAUAUCGAUUCGUUUAGGGAGCAGGUGCACCGGGUUCACCAGGUUCACCGGGUUCACCAGCGGCACCAGGUUCACCAGCGGCACCAGGUUCACCAGCGGCACCAGGUUCACCAGCAGCUCCAGCAGCACCAGGUUCACCGGGAGGACCAGCAGCACCAGGUUCACCAGGAGAACCGGGUGGACCCUGCGGUCCUGCUGGGCCUAUAAAAUCGUUCGGAAAUCUUGUGCUUUACAUCGUGCUGUGAACAUGUACCUUAUGAAAAAUUCUACAUAUUUUUGAAAAAUGUCCUCUUUGUCAACAAGUUUACAAAGCGGACAUGAAUUCCUACGGCCGAAGGCCUACGUUAAAUGAAUUCCUACGGCCGUAGGCCGUUACUACUACUACUACUACGUAGUAGUAGGUAAUACAUGAUGUCCUCUUUGUAAACAAAGGUUGACAAAGAGGACAUCUUUAGGUUGAACAACUUCAUCGUAGACGAUAGGCGUAAUUUUUUUUAAAAUUAAAUCAUACCAGUUGGCCCUCUCAGCAAUUGUUGCAAAACACCCCACUUAAAUCCGAAAAGACUGGAUAAAAUGAAUCGAGGAUCUUUCCUGAGAUUUAACCGGGAUUCGAUGAAUUCUUCUUCUUGAUCCGCAUACGGCCCUAGUGUACGUGUAAACGUUUAAGAAAUUCAGAUGAAAAUGCUUGAUUAUUACCAAAGAGUCCUCUCACGAGCGGCAAUCCACCUUUGGAAAUGGGCUGCUCGUUGUAGACUUGAUCCCUCACUGCCAAUGGGUUUUCCGAUUGCUGCUCUUCUCCAAG